This 294-nucleotide signal recognition particle RNA is filed under the name Vombatus ursinus (common wombat). Its description in RNAcentral is "Metazoan signal recognition particle RNA (ENSVURG00010016664.1)". It matches the Rfam family "Metazoan signal recognition particle RNA". Rfam says of the family: The signal recognition particle (SRP) is a universally conserved ribonucleoprotein. It is involved in the co-translational targeting of proteins to membranes. The eukaryotic SRP consists of a 300-nucleotide 7S RNA and six proteins: SRPs 72, 68, 54, 19, 14, and 9. The record is from Rfam by way of RNAcentral. Lineage: Eukaryota; Metazoa; Chordata; Mammalia; Diprotodontia; Vombatidae.
GCCACAGGUCUGGGUCUAUAAUAACUGCUCCUGGGGAGGCUGAGGAUGGCAGAUUGCUUAGGCUCAGGAGUUCUGAGCUGCAGGCCAGCUAAAGCCAAUCAGGGGUCUGCACUAAGUCCAGCACCAAUAUAGUGAGCCAUUGGGAGCAAAAGAGGACUAGGUUGCCUAAGGAGAGGUGAACCAACUCAGCAAGAAAAUGGAGGUCAAUGCUCCUGUGCCAAUCAGUAGUGGAAGUGGGCCCAUGAGUGGCUGUUACACUUCCAGUCAGGGAAGGAUAGAAAGACCCAGUCUUCA